Molecule: long non-coding RNA, 393 nt
Filed under: Homo sapiens (human)
Lineage: Eukaryota; Metazoa; Chordata; Mammalia; Primates; Hominidae
Description: non-protein coding LINC01722:8
Source: RNAcentral
GGGGGCUCCAGGCCUCCCUGUUCCUGCUCAUCACAGCCUCACAUCUUGGCUGUCAGUCCCUGAGCAGCCAGAAAGAUCAGGAGUAGGGUGAACACAGCAGAGAUGGCCAGGACAGUGGAGACUUGUUUACUGUCACCAUUGGGAACCUCUGAAGGUGCUUUAAAAGGGUGGGGCCAAAAGCUGGGGGCAGAGUCAGAACAGCUGGGGCAGCAGUAAGUCUCUGACCCCUCCCCACCCAGUGAUUUUGGGAAGUUUUUCUGCUUGGCUCCUCAGACCCAGCUUGCCCCUCUGUCCUGGAAAUGAGCCUCAAUUAAUUUCUCCCAAGAAGGUGGGACAUCUGGCUCCACUGGACAGAUGGAGGGUCUUUGCCUGUAAGGAAUUGACAGAAAUGCA